GAUGAACGCUGGCGGCGUGCCUAACACAUGCAAGUCGAGCGGACAGGCCCUGAUUUUGUUCGGUGCUCGUGUGGCGAACAGGUGAGUGACACGUGUGUAUCCUCUACUUGUCUUUGUGAUAUAUUUACGGAACAGCGGAUCAUAUCCGAUAGGAUCUCCUGAUCCAUGGGGGGCGUUAGUAAGAUUCGGUGUUUGUGGCGGUUAUAGAUGGAUCUGCGCCUUAUCAGCUUGUUGGUGCGUUAGCGGCUUACCAAGGCUAUGACGGGUAGGCGGCUUGAGAGGGUGACCGGCCACAUUGGGACUGAGAUACGGCCCAGACUCCUACGGGAGGCAGCAGUGGGGAAUAUUGCACAAUGGGCGGAAGCCUGAUGCAGCAACGCCGCGUGCGGGAUGACGGCCUUCGGGGUGUAAACCGCUUUCGCCUGUGACGAAGCGUUAGUGACGGUAAUGGGUAAAGAAGCACCGGCUAACUACGUG
Molecule: ribosomal RNA, 477 nt
Filed under: uncultured bacterium
Lineage: Bacteria
Description: partial 16S ribosomal RNA
Rfam family: Bacterial small subunit ribosomal RNA
Source: RNAcentral